This 491-nucleotide ribosomal RNA is filed under the name uncultured bacterium. Its description in RNAcentral is "partial 16S ribosomal RNA". It matches the Rfam family "Bacterial small subunit ribosomal RNA", at positions 29 to 507 of the family's 1533-position model. The record is from RNAcentral.
GUGAACGCUGGCGGUAGGCCUCACCCCUGCAAGUCGAACGGCAGCACAGUAAGAGCUUGCUCUUACGGGUGGCGAGUGGCGGACGGGUGAGGAAUACAUCGGAAUCUACUUUUUCGUGGGGGAUAACGUAGGGAAACUUACGCUAAUACCGCAUACGACCUACGGGUGAAAGCAGGGGAUCUUCGGACCUUGCGCGAUUGAAUGAGCCGAUGUCGGAUUAGCUAGUUGGCGGGGUAAAGGCCCACCAAGGCGACGAUCCGUAGCUGGUCUGAGAGGAUGAUCAGCCACACUGGAACUGAGACACGGUCCAGACUCCUACGGGAGGCAGCAGUGGGGAAUAUUGGACAAUGGGCGCAAGCCUGAUCCAGCCAUACCGCGUGGGUGAAGAAGGUCUUCGGGUUGUAAAGCCCUUUUGUUGGGAAAGAAAAGCAGCAGGUUAAUACCCCGCUGUUCUGACGGUACCCAAAGAAUAAGCACCGGCUAACUUCGUG